GACGAACGCUGGCGGCGUGCCUAACACAUGCAAGUCGAACGGAAAGGCCCUGCUGUUGUGGGCUGCUCGAGUGGCGAACGGGUGAGUAACACGUGAGUAACCUGCCGUUGACUUUGGGAUAACGUCAGGAAACUGGGGGUAACACCGGAUAGGAGCUCCUGCUGCAUGGUGGUGGUUGGUAAGUUUCGGCGGUUGGGGAUGGACUCGCGGCUUAUCAGCUUGUUGGUGAGGUAGUGGCUUACCAAGGUGUUGACGGGUAGCCGGCCUGAGAGGGUGACCGGCCACAUUGGGACUCAGAUACGGCCCGGACUCCUACGGGAGGCAGCGGUGGAGAAUAUUGCACAAUAGGCGGAGGCCUGAUGCAGCAACGCCGCGUGCUGGAUGACGGCCGUCGGGGUGUAAACCGCUUUCGCGUGUAACGAAGCGUGAGUGACGGUAAUUGGUAAAGAAGCAACGGCUAACUACGUG
RNAcentral lists this ribosomal RNA (468 nucleotides) under uncultured bacterium. Its description in RNAcentral is "partial 16S ribosomal RNA". It matches the Rfam family "Bacterial small subunit ribosomal RNA", at positions 28 to 507 of the family's 1533-position model. The record is from RNAcentral.